RNAcentral lists this ribosomal RNA (1460 nucleotides) under uncultured Bordetella sp. Its description in RNAcentral is "partial 16S-23S ribosomal RNA intergenic spacer". It matches the Rfam family "Bacterial small subunit ribosomal RNA". Lineage: Bacteria; Pseudomonadati; Pseudomonadota; Betaproteobacteria; Burkholderiales; Alcaligenaceae. The record is from RNAcentral.
AGUUUGAUCAUGGCUCAGAUUGAACGCUGGCGGGAGCUUUACACAUGCAAGUCGAACGGCAGCACGGACUUCGGUCUGGUGGCGAGUGGCGAACGGGUGAGUAAUGUAUCGGAACGUGCCUAUAGCGGGGAUAACUACGCGAAAGCGUAGCUAAUACCGCACAUUACCCUUCGGGGGAAAGCGGGGGGACCUUCGGGCCUCGCACUAUUAGAGCGGCCGAUAUCGGAUUAGCUAGUCAGGGUAACGGCUCACCAAGGCGACGAUCCGUAGCUGGUUUGAGGAGGACGACCAGCCACACUGGGACUGAGAUACGCCCAGACUCCUACGGGAGGCAGCAGUGGGGAAUUUUGGGAUUGUGGGGGGAAACCCUGAUCCAAGCCAUCCGCGUGCGAUGAAGGCCUUCGGCCGUAAAGCACUUUGGCAGGAAAGAAACGGCACGGGAUAAUACCCGUGCAACUGACGGUACCUGGCAGAAUAAGCACCGGCUAACUACGUGCCAGCAGCCGCGGUAAUACGUAGGGUGCAAGCGCUGACCGGAAUUACUGGGCGUAAAGCGUGCGCAGGCGGUUCGGAAAAGAAAGAUGUGAAAUCCCAGAGCUUAACUUUGGAACUGCAUUUUUAACUACCGAGCUAGAGUGUGUCAGAGGGAGGUGGAAUUCCGCGUAGCAGUGAAAUGCGUAGAUAUGCGGAGGAACACCGAUGGCGAAGGCAGCCUGGGAUAACACUGACGCUCAUGCACGAAAGCGUGGGGAGCAAACAGGAUUAGAUACCCUGGUAGUCCAUGCCCAUAAUGAUGUCAACUAGCUGUUGGGGCCUUCGCCCGGUAGCGCAGCUAACGCGUGAAGUUGACCGCCUGGGGAGUACGGUCGCAAGAUUAAAACUCAAAGAAUGACGGGGACCCGCACAAGCGGUGAUGAUGAUUGACUUUGGAUGCAACGCGAAAAACCUUACCUACUCUUGACAUGUCUGGCAAUCCCGAAGAGAUUUGGGAGUGCUCGCAAGAGAACCGGAACACAGGUGCUGCAUGGCUGUCGUCAGCUCAAAAUGAGAUGCUGGGUUAAGCCCGCAACGAGCGCAACCCUUGUCAUUAGUUGCUACGAAAGGGCACUCUAAUGAGACUGCCGGUGACAAACCGGAGGAAGGUGGGGAUGACGUCAAGUCCUCAUGGCCCUUAUGUAGGGCUUCCGUCAUACAAUGGUCGGGACAGAGGGUCGCCAACCCGCGGAGGGGGAGCCGUCCCAGAAACCCGAUCGUAGUCCGGAUCGCAGUUCGCAACCCGACUGCGUGAAGUCGGAAUCGCUAGUAAUCGCGGAUCAGCAUGCUGUCGCGGUGAAUACGUUCCCGGGUCUUGUACACACUGCCUGUCACACCAUGGAGCAGUUUUAGAAGUAGUUAGCCUAACCGUAAGGAGGGCGAUUACCACGGUAGGAUUCAUGACUGUGGUGAAGUCGAACAAGGUA